Alosa sapidissima (American shad) is the source of this 695-nucleotide long non-coding RNA. RefSeq lists it as uncharacterized. The record is from RefSeq and is a predicted model, not a curated record. NCBI's taxonomy places the organism in Eukaryota, Metazoa, Chordata, Actinopteri, Clupeiformes, Clupeidae. The transcript is spliced from 4 exons.
GUUAUCUCUGUCUUGGAAAAUGGGGACUAAGCAGCUUUACAAACAUCUUUUUUGUGUGCUCUUUCCAAUUGCAUAGUUGUUUUGAUGUACCUUUUGUUGGUUCCUGCAGCUAGACCAAAGCCAAAAUGGCGAUUGUGAUGACGCACAACAAAUUCAUGAUGCUGAUGGUCUGCACACUUAUCUGGGCAUUUACCAACUAUGAGGAGGUUACCUGAUAGACCAAAAUGCAGAGGGAGACCAAGAAUAAACCUUGACUCAAGAGGUUUCCUCUAUAAUUAUGGACUAUGAUCUACAUCUGUGGGCAAGAGGGCUCGCAGGUUAUAGGGUCAGCUCUUGUACAGCUCCUGAGAAUCUUGAACAUUUACUCUGGUCCUGUCCCCACUCUUGUACCUUUUGGCAAGACCUCAGUGCUUUCAUUUCUCAACAUAUUCUCUCUGAUUUCUCUUUCUCCUCUCUAUCUCUUAAAGAUGUACUGUUUGGCUUCUCUUCAUACCCGACAUCCAAAUCCAACCAAUUCUAUAUUAUCAAUCUACUUUUAAUACUAGCCAAAGCACAUAUUCACAAAAUGAAAUUUUCUAGUUCCAAACCGUCCUUUAUAGCAUUUGAACGAGAAUCCAGGCAAUACAUCAAGACCAUCUUAUUCUCUAAAAACGGCAAAGCCCUCAAAACCCUCGAUCUAUGUAUAUUAUUUAACA